UACGUAGGUGACAAGCGUUGUCCGGAUUUACUGGGCGUAAAGAGCGCGCAGGCGGUCGUUCAAGUCGAGUGUGAAAGCCCCCGGCUCAACUGGGGAGGGUCAUUCGAUACUGAUCGACUCGAAGGCAGGAGAGGGAAGUGGAAUUCCCGGUGUAGUGGUGAAAUGCGUAGAUAUCGGGAGGAACACCGGUGGCGAAGGCGGCCAUCUGGCCCGUAAUUGACUCUGAGGCGCGAAAGCGUGGGGAGCAAACAGG
RNAcentral lists this ribosomal RNA (253 nucleotides) under uncultured bacterium. Its description in RNAcentral is "partial 16S ribosomal RNA". It matches the Rfam family "Bacterial small subunit ribosomal RNA", at positions 524 to 776 of the family's 1533-position model. The record is from RNAcentral.